GUCAGGAUGGCCGAGCUGUCCAAGGCGCUGCGUUCAGGUUGCAGUCUGGUUCUCCAGGCGUCUGUUCAAAUCCCACUCCCGACG
This 84-nucleotide transfer RNA is filed under the name Dreissena polymorpha. Its description in RNAcentral is "tRNA-Leu". It matches the Rfam family "tRNA". Rfam says of the family: Transfer RNA (tRNA) molecules are approximately 80 nucleotides in length. The record is from RNAcentral. Lineage: Eukaryota; Metazoa; Mollusca; Bivalvia; Myida; Dreissenidae.